This 369-nucleotide RNase P RNA is filed under the name bacterium. RNAcentral's name for it is "RNase P RNA component class A". It matches the Rfam family "Bacterial RNase P class A". From Rfam's summary of the family: Ribonuclease P (RNase P) is a ubiquitous endoribonuclease, found in archaea, bacteria and eukarya as well as chloroplasts and mitochondria. Its best characterised activity is the generation of mature 5'-ends of tRNAs by cleaving the 5'-leader elements of precursor-tRNAs. The record is from RNAcentral.
UCAGGCAAGCGUGAUGAUCGCUCUUUGUAUAAGACAAAGAGAGGAAAGUCCGAACAUUCCUUUAACGCAAGUUAAAGAAAAGCCUAGCGGGUAACGCCCGUCGUCCGUAAGGACAGAGAUGCGAACAGUGACGCGAGACCCGAGAGGGUUAAGACACCGCAUUAGCGGUGUAUGCCUUAAGUAAUUAAGGAGUGAAACGGCUAAAUUCUUAGGUGAAUGCAAGAACAAAUAUCUGGCAGAAGAUGAUGAUGAUUUUCUGUCAGUGAAAGGUAGUUCGCUAGAGCCCGGUGGUAACAUCGAGCCAAGACAAAUGAUCAUCGUCCUGCAUAUGCAGGAUAACAGAAUUCGGCUUACGGCUUGCCUGACAUC